UUUCCGUAGGUGAACCUGCGGAAGGAUCAUUAGAGAAUUGAAAAUGUCAGCGAACCUCUUCGGAGCCCCUAGCAUCAAAUCAUAUCCAUAACACCUGUGAACUGUAAGGCUGUCAUGAAAACGAACGUGAUUAGAGCGCCUGCCCAUUUCAUACGAACGUCAAAGUAACAAACGUCGUCUUAUAAAAAUCUAUUAUAACUUUCAACAACGGAUCUCUUGGCUCUC
Molecule: unclassified non-coding RNA, 225 nt
Filed under: plant metagenome
Description: partial contains small subunit ribosomal RNA, internal transcribed spacer 1, and 5.8S ribosomal RNA
Source: RNAcentral